GAAUGUGAGCGUGAUCCAGCUGUGACACCUGUCACCCGUGGGUCACCAGGACUCAUCUGCUGACCUGGCUGGCUCGGCGGCUGUCCCCAUCCUCCCCCACUGCUCCCUAUGCAUCCCUCCAGAAGCUGUGGAGGUAGUUGGGGAGAGAGGACCACACCCCCGAUAAAGGAGGGCUGUUCCUUCCCCUGAGGCUAUAGGAGUAGCUGUGCCCCUGCCAGAACUUCCAAACAAGCUCUCAAACCUUCUCCUUUAAGUUGUGGAUGUCAGCUACUGUGUAUGAACAAGAAUAGUGACUAUGCAAAGGACAUUAAUAAGAAAUUUAAAAGACCUUGUAAAAUACAAAAAAUAUCU
Molecule: small nuclear RNA, 351 nt
Filed under: Octodon degus (degu)
Lineage: Eukaryota; Metazoa; Chordata; Mammalia; Rodentia; Octodontidae
Description: 7SK RNA (ENSODEG00000024294.1)
Rfam family: 7SK RNA
About the family: 7SK was discovered as an abundant small nuclear RNA in the mid-70s but a possible function has only recently been suggested.
Source: Rfam by way of RNAcentral